UUAAAGGCUCUUUUCAGAGCCACUCAACUACUCAUUAAAGAGCUGG
Non-coding RNA from Equus caballus (horse), 46 nucleotides. Lineage: Eukaryota; Metazoa; Chordata; Mammalia; Perissodactyla; Equidae. The record is from Rfam.